RNAcentral lists this ribosomal RNA (497 nucleotides) under uncultured bacterium. Its description in RNAcentral is "partial 16S ribosomal RNA". It matches the Rfam family "Bacterial small subunit ribosomal RNA", at positions 28 to 507 of the family's 1533-position model. The record is from RNAcentral.
GAUGAACGCUGGCGGCGUGCCUAAUACAUGCAAGUCGAGCGAACGGACGAGAAGCUUGCUUCUCUGAUGUUAGCGGCGGACGGGUGAGUAACACGUGGAUAACCUACCUAUAAGACUGGGAUAACUUCGGGAAACCGGAGCUAAUACCGGAUGAUAUUUUGAACCGCAUGGUUCAAAAGUGAAAGACGGUCUUGCUGUCACUUAUAGAUGGAUCCGCGCUGCAUUAGCUAGUUGGUAAGGUAACGGCUUACCAAGGCAACGAUGCAUAGCCGACCUGAGAGGGUGAUCGGCCACACUGGAACUGAGACACGGUCCAGACUCCUACGGGAGGCAGCAGUAGGGAAUCUUCCGCAAUGGGCGAAAGCCUGACGGAGCAACGCCGCGUGAGUGAUGAAGGUCUUCGGAUCGUAAAACUCUGUUAUUAGGGAAGAACAUAUGUGUAAGUAACUGUGCACAUCUUGACGGUACCUAAUCAGAAAGCCACGGCUAACCACGUG